RNAcentral lists this non-coding RNA (80 nucleotides) under Penicilliopsis zonata CBS 506.65. RNAcentral's name for it is "Eukaryotic large subunit ribosomal RNA". It matches the Rfam family "Eukaryotic large subunit ribosomal RNA", at positions 24 to 103 of the family's 3401-position model. The record is from Rfam by way of RNAcentral. Lineage: Eukaryota; Fungi; Ascomycota; Eurotiomycetes; Eurotiales; Aspergillaceae.
UUUACUGAACUUAAGCAUAUCAAUAAGCGGAGGAAAAGAAACCAACAGGGAUUGCCUCAGUAACGGCGAGUGAAGCGGCA